Molecule: ribosomal RNA, 496 nt
Filed under: uncultured Candidatus Poseidoniales archaeon
Lineage: Archaea; Methanobacteriati; Thermoplasmatota; Candidatus Poseidoniia; Candidatus Poseidoniales
Description: bacterial SSU rRNA
Rfam family: Archaeal small subunit ribosomal RNA
Source: RNAcentral
GUCUUGGAAUAAGGGGUGGGUAAGGACGGUGCCAGCCGCCGCGGUAAUACCGGCGCCUCAAGUGGUAGUCGCUUUUAUUGGGCCUAAAACGUCCGUAGCCGGUCUGGUGCAUUCGUGGGUAAAUCAACCCGCUCAACGGGUUGAAUUCUGCGAGCACGGCCAGACUUGGGACCGGGAGAGGUGUGGGGUACUCUCAGGGUAGGGGUAAAAUCCUGUCAUCCUGAGAGGACCACCUGUUGCGAAGGCGCCACACUAGAACGGAUUCGACGGUCAGGGACGAAACCUAGGGGCACGAACCGGAUUAGAUACCCGGGUAGUCCUAGGUGUAAACGCUGUGGACUUGAUGUUGGGGGUGCUCCGAGCACUCUCAGUGUCGAAGCGAAGGUGAUAAGUCCACUGCCUGGGGAGUACGGUCGCAAGGCUGAAACUUAAAGGAAUUGGCGGGGGAGCACUGCAACCUGAGGAUUGUGCGGUUUAAUUGGACUCAACGCCGGGA